CCCUUAACUAUUAAAAGUUUCGUUUUGGUCCCUUAACUUAUUUUUUGGUUUCGUUUUGGUCCCUUAACUUAUUUUUUGAUUUCAUUUUGGUCCCUUAACUCUAAUACAUUCAUCCUAACAUAAAGGACUAAAGGGGUUGACGGAGGAUGAGUUAAGGGACCAAAACGAAACCGAAAAGUAAGUUAACGGACCAAAACGAAGCUUUUAAUAGUUAAGGGGCCAAAACAAAACCAAAAAGUAAGUUAAGGGACCAAAACGAAACUUUUAAUAGUUAAGGGA
Molecule: microRNA precursor, 279 nt
Organism: Medicago truncatula (barrel medic)
Lineage: Eukaryota; Viridiplantae; Streptophyta; Magnoliopsida; Fabales; Fabaceae
Rfam family: MIR2655 microRNA precursor family
Source: Rfam